AUGUUUAUUCUCUUCCUUUAUCACCAUUUCACUUAUCUUAAUUUUAGAAAUUAUCAUAACUAUUACCAACACAUAUAAAGAUAUUUCAUACCCUCACUAUGUAAAAACUUCUACAUCAUAUGCUUUUAUAACCAGUCUCAUUCCAGCUCUAAUAUACAUUUACUAGGCCAAGAAAUAACCCAAGUAACUAUUCAAACCUUAAAACUAACACUCAGCUUCAAGUUACAUUAUUUCUCAAUAAUAUCUGUACCAGUGGCACUUUCUGUUACAUGAUCAAUCAUAGCAUUUUCAAUAUGAUACAUAAAUUUAAAUUCAAACAUUGAUUUUUAAAAUAUUUACUUAUAUUUCUCAUCCUUAUACAAAUUUCAGUUACUGCCAACAACCUCUGACAACUGGCAACUCUAUUGGAUGAGAAGGGGUGAGAAUUAUAUCAUUUUUACUUAUCAAAUGAUGAUACAGCAGAGGGGAUGCAAGUAUAGCAUCCCUCCAAGCUAUUUUAUAUAUUGCAUUGGAGAUAUCAGAUUUCUAUUAUCAAUAGCACAAUUUUUACUAUUCUAAGACACAUGGGAGUUUCAUCAAAUUUUCAUGCUCAACCCCAACCCUAUAUCUUUCCAUUAAUUGGGCUCCUUCUGGAAACAACUGGCUAAUCUGUCCAAUUUGGCCUUCAUUUAUGAUUACCAUCAACAAUAGAAGGCCCAGCACCUGUCUCAGACCUACUCCAUUCCAGCACAGAAGUUGUAGCAGGAUUUUCCUAUUAAUCUGCUUUUCACCUACUCAUAGAAAACAACAAAACAAUUAAAACACUAACAAUAUGCUUAGGUGCUGUUAACACUUUAUUCUCAGCAAUUUGUGCCCUAACACAAAAUGACAUCAAAAAGGUCACAUUUUCCACAUCAAGCCAACUAGGUCACUAUUGGUAUUAAUCAACCACAUCUAGCAUUUCUCCAUAUCUGUACACAUGCAUUCUUCAAAGCUAUGCUGUUUAUAUGCUCCAGAUCCAUCAUUCAUAACCUUAAUGAUGACCAGGAUAUUAAAAAAAUAGGAGGCCUCUUUAGAGCUACACUCUUCACCACUUUUUUGCUUAUUACUGUAAGCCUCACAUUUACAUGUAUGCCUUUUCUUACAGGCUUCUACCCCAAGGAUUUAAAUAUCAAAAUUGCUAACACAUCAUAACCUGAGCGCUUUUAAUUACACUUAUCGCCACCUCCCUAGCAACUGUCUAUUGCAUUUGAAUUAUUUCCUUUGCAUACCUAGGACGACUUCACUUUUAAACUUUAAUAAAUAUCAGUGAAAACAACCUCCUCCUAAUUAAUUCGCUAAAUGUUUAACAACUGGUAGCAUUUUCCCUGGAUUUUUUAUCUACAACUGUCUUAG
This 1374-nucleotide long non-coding RNA is filed under the name Homo sapiens (human). RNAcentral describes it as "non-protein coding lnc-STRADB-7:1". Lineage: Eukaryota; Metazoa; Chordata; Mammalia; Primates; Hominidae. The record is from RNAcentral.